GAUAUCUGCUGGAAUGCUUUAUGCGUAAAAUCGAUUUGUCUGCCCAAGGAUGGGUCUGCGGCCUAUCAGGUAGUAGUGGGUGUAAUGUACCUACUAGCCUACGACGGGUACGGGUUGUGAGAGCAAGAGCCCGGAGAUGGAUUCUGAGACAUGAAUCCAGGCCCUACGGGGCGCAGCAGGCGCGAAAACUUUACAAUGCGGGAAACCGUGAUAAGGGGACACCGAGUGCCAGCAUCAUAUGUUGGCUGUCCAGAUGUGUGAAAUACAUCUGUUAGCAAGGGCCGGGCAAGACCGGUGCCAGCCGCCGCGGUAACACCGGCGGCCCGAGUGGUGAUCGUGAUUAUUGGGUCUAAAGGGUCCGUAGCCGGUUUGGUCAGUCCUCCGGGAAAUCUGACGGCUCAACCGUUAGGCUUUCGGUGGAUACUGCCAGACUUGGAACCGGGAGAGGUAAGAGGUACUACAGGGGUAGGAGUGAAAUCUUGUAAUCCCUGUGAGACCACCUGUGGCGAAGGCGUCUUACCAGAACGGGUUCGACGGUGAGGGACGAAAGCUGGGGGCACGAACCGGAUUAGAUACCCGGGUAGUCCCAGCCGUAAACGAUGCUCGCUAGGUGUCAGGCAUGGCGCGACCGUGUCUGGUGCCGCAGGGAAGCCGUGAAGCGAGCCACCUGGGAAGUACGGCCGCAAGGCUGAAACUUAA
This 699-nucleotide ribosomal RNA is filed under the name uncultured archaeon. RNAcentral's name for it is "bacterial SSU rRNA". It matches the Rfam family "Archaeal small subunit ribosomal RNA", at positions 162 to 859 of the family's 1478-position model. The record is from RNAcentral.